Long non-coding RNA from Orcinus orca (killer whale), 753 nucleotides. RefSeq lists it as uncharacterized. The transcript has 2 exons. Lineage: Eukaryota; Metazoa; Chordata; Mammalia; Artiodactyla; Delphinidae. The record is from RefSeq and is a predicted model, not a curated record.
CUGCCCAGGACACCGUAUGGGCUUCACCUUUUCCCUGCCCUGCCUCCUGAGCCCCGCUGCUCUCCCCAAUCCAAAGGGCGCUCAUAAUGGUAAAAGGAAAAAAAAAAAAAAAAAGCCCACGUCUUCUAGCCCUCCUCCUCCGCUUCCUGGUACCUCCUGCCCCCUCCUUCCACAUCCUAGCGGCCUCCUGGUCACCCGGUCGUUGGCUCCACCUUGCAGCACCCAACAAAAUGGCAGGUAGCAUCAGGCGAGGCCGAGAGCACCGGCACCCGCUCCAGCCCAGCGUGGCCCCCGGCCAAACCGCCGGGGGUCUCUGACAGUACCCCAACUCCAAAGAGCCUUCUCCUCUCAGAGUCCCCAAUCCUCGGCCCGCGGGGCCUCCUGCUCGCUCUCCCGGGACCAUUUCUUUCGCCAGCGGAGGAGCAGGUGCCAGCGUAACAGCUCUCAAUAAACAAAGUACAUCCAAAAGGAAGACCUCUUCAAGUUCUUUACCCUGAAAAUGUGCAGCUAUAGUGAGGGACCCCCAGAAUUUCAAUGAAUAAGCCUACAAUGACUUUGAAGUUCCCAGAAGUGCUCAGUGACUCAGAAAAGCCUCAGCUGUGCUUGUCUUAAAAAUUACCACGAAGGGGAAAACUUCACUGUGUCCCUUCCAGCACCCUCCUUGCUGCACCAUGCAUCCCCCACCGUCCCCAACUCUACCUGCUUCCUACCUGCUUCCACAAUGACCAGUGGAAUAAAAAAAAUAUCGUUGAA